CCUACGGGGGGCAGCAGUGGGGAAUAUUGCACAAUGGGGGAAACCCUGAUGCAGCGACGCCGCGUGAGUGAAGAAGUAUUUCGGUAUGUAAAGCUCUAUCAGCAGGGAAGAAGAAAGACGGUACCUGACUAAGAAGCCCCGGCUAACUACGUGCCAGCAGCCGCGGUAAUACGUAGGGGGCAAGCGUUAUCCGGAUUUACUGGGUGUAAAGGGAGCGUAGACGGCCAGACAAGUCUGAAGUGAAAAUCCAGCGCUUAACGUUG
RNAcentral lists this ribosomal RNA (263 nucleotides) under uncultured bacterium. RNAcentral describes it as "partial 16S ribosomal RNA". It matches the Rfam family "Bacterial small subunit ribosomal RNA", at positions 338 to 617 of the family's 1533-position model. The record is from RNAcentral.